Molecule: long non-coding RNA, 401 nt
Organism: Peromyscus leucopus (white-footed mouse)
Lineage: Eukaryota; Metazoa; Chordata; Mammalia; Rodentia; Cricetidae
Exons: 3
Source: RefSeq, a predicted model, not a curated record
GCAUCUUUACACUCCUCACAGCUGUUUCCUUUGGCCAUGACUACACAGCCAUCUUCAAAGCAAGAGCAUCUUUGUUGGCCAUGCACCCAAACUAUGACAACGAUUCAGGUGGCCAUCAACCAUGCUCUGAGAGAUGUCACUUCUUCCUGGAGCUGGAGAACUCCAUCAAAGGCUGACAUCCAGGUGGCUCAAGCUUGUCUCAGAAAAAGCCUGACCAAUAAAGAUAGAGGCACAUGGAACAGAUGAGAAUCAGUACAUCCAAUGAAACAGCCUAAUGCAACCUGUGGGAGUAGCUGAAAACCUACUGGGAAUGACAAACUCAUCUUUCCAAGACAUUAGAUGGACUUGGUAGAGCAACACAUAACCUGAGUAGGCGAUCAUCUUAACUGAGAGAUGAGCUU